UUGUCGCCGUCCUCCGCUGGCGCGACUCCCCAGCAGCACGGGAGCCCAGAAGGUGGAGACGACCUUGGAGGAGUCCACCGAGCUUUGGAUCUUGCUGGCCUGCGGGAGCGACGACGUGGACCACCGCACGGCGGAGGCGUGGGCUUGGAUGGCUUGGACACAGUGUUCUCCUUGUCAACGACGGUGGAGGUGGUGCGGCUUGGGUGCGGUGUUCUCCUUCACGGCAAUGGCGGAGGUGGUGCCCGUAGGCUGCCGUGGACGAGCACGGGGCUGGUCCUGCGUCAGGGAGCCCUCGUCCUUCCUCGGCGAUUGGGGCAAGGUAGAGGAGGAGGUGGUGAUUUGUGUGUCGAGAGACGAGCGAGGGAUGCUCGUGGAGGGAAGGAUCCAAUCGGGGGUGCCGAUGACGGAGGCAAAAGGCAUGGCGCGCGUCGUGCGGGGGCAAAGGCCUGGUCGCGCUUGGCUGAUCUCCGAGGCAAAGGGUGGGUCACGCUGCGCAGAGGCGGAGGCCUAGGUGUGAACUGCGUGCGGAAGGGUGCGGCGAAGGAUUCGAAGGCGGACUAA
Molecule: unclassified non-coding RNA, 561 nt
Filed under: Zea mays
Lineage: Eukaryota; Viridiplantae; Streptophyta; Magnoliopsida; Poales; Poaceae
Description: misc RNA Zm00001eb154160
Source: RNAcentral